AUCAUUUUUCAGACUUUUGGCUAACAUCAAGUAUAGUACCUAUUCUUACCAGUUUCAUAUCUGAUACAUCAUCUAUCUGAGGACAAUGUAUUAAAUGGAUUUUUGGAGCAGGGAGAUGGAAUAGGAGCUUGCUCCAUCACUCCACACACUGACCUGGUACUGCAGUACCUCCAGGAAUGGUGCACUACUA
Small nuclear RNA from Manis pentadactyla (Chinese pangolin), 190 nucleotides. RefSeq annotates it as U2 spliceosomal RNA. Lineage: Eukaryota; Metazoa; Chordata; Mammalia; Pholidota; Manidae. The record is from RefSeq and is a predicted model, not a curated record. The transcript has a single exon.